This 2715-nucleotide long non-coding RNA is filed under the name Toxoplasma gondii VEG. The record is from RNAcentral. Lineage: Eukaryota; Apicomplexa; Conoidasida; Eucoccidiorida; Sarcocystidae.
CGCGCGAGAAGAGCAGGCGCCCGCUGGCCUGUCUCUGGUCUGCCGGGAACCGGACGACGUUCUUCUCCCAUCAUCUGAGCUGGACGACGACAGCCAGACGAAGCGCGAUUUUCUGCGGGACUCGGCAGCUAGUGUUUUCGCUCUUCCCCUCCCUAGCCUCUUCUCUUCUCUCUCAGCGAGCGAAAAGCCACUCACUGGCGCACAGGCAUCUUGUGCAGAAGCGCGUGGAUUCCGCUGUUGAGAUCGCCGGGAAAACUUGGUCGCAGGAAGCCACCCUUCCCCGCCCGAAUCUCUUCCUGCUUCGGAUUCUCCUUGUUCGUGUUCUCGAGUCUCCCACCGCUGUUGGAUGAGCACGUGAAGAGGUAUGCGUUCUUCAGGUUCGCGGUGGGGGGCUACGGAGGCGUCAGCGAUAAGCGUCUCUGGAUGCUCGUCCUUCAAGAUGAAAAACGCCUCUCUCCCGUCGGCUUCCUCGGCACUCUCGGACCUCCGUUCCUGUUCGUCCAGGAUCCUCUCCGGUUGUUCUGGGCCUUCUUCUUCGGUCCAGCUGUCUUCUUCCUUCUUGUCUCUCCUUGUCCCGUCGCUCGCAUCGCCUAGGUCCGAGAACGCCGAGUAGAAGUCGACGUCUCCUUCUGUCUCCGACAAAAGAAAUCCACAGCUCCGAGACGAACAACUGCACCUGCGAAGACGCAUUUGCUUCCUGCCUCCGCCCUUGCUCGUGUUUCGUCUCUCCCCGGCUCGAUCCGUUCUCUCCGCAGAGUCUGCGUUUCUGAAACCGAGACGUGGAUCCUCCAGAUUGAGCAGUUCCGCGGGGGGAACGGAGGCCGCCGUCGUCCGGUGUUCUUGUCUCUCGACAGGACGCUUGAUUGAUGGCCGAAAGCUGUCUCCCUUCCUCCUGCUCCUCGCCUUCAAGCUCCGUUUCUGUGUUUGCCAAAGUCCUUCGCGUGGGUACUCUGUGGCUCCUAGACCCGACAGUCUUCCUUCACCGGCGUCCACGCUUGCCCCAGAAGGUCCUCGUCUUCGUGUCUCCAUUUUCGACUUUUUUUCGCCAGUCGGCUCCAAGAGGAAUAAAGACUCCGAAGAGUCUCCUUGCCUCCUCACACUUGCUGCUUCUCUUUCGAGUCCUUGUUUGCGGCGCCUGUUCCGCUGUGUCACUGUCUGACCAGCUCCGUCGUCUCGAGACUGGGUCUCCCAGUUCGUUGCUUCUUCGUUCUCAAAGUGCGCUUCCUCUUUCACUUGGGCAGGAUCCCUCAGAGUCCACUCUCCACACGCUCGCUCGCUCCUCUCUAUUGCUUCCCAAAGAUGCAACGUCCCUACAGAUCCUUCUUCCGCGAUAAGCUCUGCGUCGCCAUCCCUCGAUGUGGUGUCGAGGAAGGCGCCACUCUUCAAAAGAAGCUCGAAGGCUUCGUCGUUGAGACAAUCAUCUUUAAAGGCCUCAGCUGUGCUUGGUGCGUUACGGGCAGUUUCGGCUACAUGCAAUUGGCCAUGUGAAUCUGUCUCUGCCCUCUCCUCUCUUGUCCGGUGGUCCCACCAGUUUGGGAGCCGGUCCCCUUGCAUGCGACCCGCAGAAACGCUGGCUUCUCCGCCCCCCCACUGGCCUUGACCUCGUCCCUCUGAGGAGAAACAUGGGUAUUCAACAGGCAGAGGUUCCCUCUUCUCUCUGUCCUCCUCCCCUCCGCGUUCUCUCUGUCCUUCCACCUCAUCGCUUCCUCUGCGUCUCCCUCCGGUCAAAGUCCUCCCUCUCCGUGGCGCCAUACCGCACUUCUCCUUUCUUUCUUACAACUCCGAGGGCUCCAGAAAGAAGGCGAAACCAAGCGGCCAGGAGCGACCGGGGAAGACAAGAAGACGAAGAAUAAGAAGGGAAGGGCACGGAGGAGAAGAAGGCGGGCGGGGAGAAGAAAGUGAGGAAAAAUAGAAAAAGGAAAAAGAGAGAGGCAGAAAAGCAGAAGAGGAUAACGAUGAUGAUUGGAUAAGGAACGCGAUCGCGUGCAACGAGAGACAACUGAAAUCGGGGCUUCUAGGCUCUUUUCAAACCCAGCAUGGAGGAAGAAACGACAGAGCGAAAGCGAAAUAAAAGGUGGCCGAGAGAUGAAAUACUGGGGAGAAAAACAACGAGAACCUCUUUACCAGCGGGUCCUCUACUGAUGAGGACGGGGAGACAAGGGUGUGUGAGGCAGAACGACGAGAAAAAACCAAGGUCGCUCCGACAGCUUUGCCGUCUCUCUUUCACACUUCUUCCAUUGUUUGAGCUGCUCUUCGCAAGUUGGUUUUUAUUCUUUCUUUGCAGGUGGGUAUAAAAUCUGCGUCGGUGACGUGUCUACGGGUCAAGCAGCCGUGUGUUCAAGAAUGCAUUCAUCUCUACAUGCAGCAGCACCGAUGGAAAUUUGCAUCUGAGUACGGUUCCGAGAUCAUGGACUGAAUUCAAACUGCGCCUGAAGAGAAGCCGAGGCAGAAAUGACUCAGAUGAUAAAAAUCUCCCCGCCUGUCCCUCCUCUUUCUCCCUUCCUCUGUUGAGGUCGACGUAGUGUCUUCGCACUUUUGCUCGCUCUCGACGUCUCCCGUCUUGCUCGGCGCGCCAGUGCAAGAAACUCACGAUCAUGUGGGAAGAGUCUCUUCCUGUCGGUUCUUCUGGACCCCUGUUCGGUGUUCCGGUCGCGUCAGUGCCUUAGAGCGCCGAAGUCCUUCCGACAGUAUUUUUCGGCGCUCGCUUUCCGGGCU